Molecule: ribosomal RNA, 1414 nt
Filed under: metagenome
Description: bacterial LSU rRNA
Rfam family: Bacterial large subunit ribosomal RNA
Source: RNAcentral
AAGGAUGUAGUUAGGUUUAGUAGGCAAAUCCGCUAGACUAUUAAUGAGAUCUGAUAGCAAGCUGUACUUGUACAGCGAAGUGGCAAAUACCCUGCUUCCAGGAAAAGCUUCUAAGCGAUAGUCAUAAAGAAAUCGUACCCUAAACCGACACAGGUGGUCAGGUAGAGAAUACCAAGGCGCUUGAGAGAACUCUGCUGAAGGAACUAGGCGAAAUGGUACCGUAACUUCGGGAGAAGGUACGCUGCCGAUGGUGAGUAGUCAUGCACUACAAAGCUAUUGGCAGUCGCAGAUACCAGGCCGCUGCAACUGUUUAUUAAAAACACAGCACUCUGCAAACACGAAAGUGGACGUAUAGGGUGUGAUGCCUGCCCGGUGCUGGAAGGUUAAUUGAUGGGGUUAGCGUAAGCGAAGCUCUUGAUCGAAGCCCCAGUAAACGGCGGCCGUAACAAUAACGGUCCUAAGGUAGCGAAAUUCCUUGUCGGGUAAGUUCCGACCUGCACGAAUGGCAUAAUGAUGGCGGCGCUGUCUCCAGCAGAGACUCAGUGAAAUCGAAAUCGCAGUGAAGAUGCUGUGUACCCGCGGCUAGACGGAAAGACCCCGUGAACCUUUACUACAGCUUUACAUCGAACUUUGACCUUACCUGUGUAGGAUAGGUGGGAGGCUUUGAAGCAGGCACGCCAGUGUCUGUGGAGCCAUCUUGAAAUACCACCCUGAUAAUGUUGGGGUUCUAACUCAAGCUUAACAGAGCUGAGGACAAUGUAUGGUGGGUAGUUUGACUGGGGCGGUCUCCUCCUAAAGAGUAACGGAGGAGUACGAAGGUGCGCUCAGAGCGGUCGGAAAUCGUUCGAAGAGUAUAAAGGCAAAAGCGCGCUUAACUGCGAGACCCACAAGUCGAGCAGAUACGAAAGUAGGUCUUAGUGAUCCGGUGGUUCUGUAUGGAAGGGCCAUCGCUCAACGGAUAAAAGGUACUCUGGGGAUAACAGGCUGAUACCGCCCAAGAGUUCAUAUCGACGGCGGUGUUUGGCACCUCGAUGUCGGCUCAUCUCAUCCUGGGGCUGAAGCAGGUCCCAAGGGUAUGGCUGUUCGCCAUUUAAAGAGGUACGCGAGCUGGGUUUAGAACGUCGUGAGACAGUUCGGUCCCUAUCUACCGUGGGCGUUGGAAAUUUGAGAGGAUCUGCUCCUAGUACGAGAGGACCAGAGUGGACGAACCUCUGGUGUUUCGGUUGUGACGCCAGUCGCAUUGCCGAGUAGCUAUGUUCGGAUGGGAUAACCGCUGAAAGCAUCUAAGCGGGAAGCCCACCUUAAGAUUAGAUUUCCCUAAAGAGCCGUUGUAGACUACGACGUUGAUAGGUUGGGUGUGGAAGCAUAGUGAUAUGUGUAGCUAACCAAUACUAAUUGCUCGUUUGGCUUGAGU